Molecule: long non-coding RNA, 713 nt
Filed under: Linum usitatissimum (flax)
Lineage: Eukaryota; Viridiplantae; Streptophyta; Magnoliopsida; Malpighiales; Linaceae
Description: long non-coding RNA (LUSI_LNC006584)
Source: RNAcentral
UUGGCGACCACCUAAUAAGUUCCACAUCUGAUUUCUCUUUCUCCUUUCACUUCUUUGAUCAUCGGAUUGUCUCUGUUUCGAUGAGUGAUUCCCCUAAAUCCUGGGUUGAUCCUUUCUCGGUGUCGGAGCCGGAGUUUAUUGAUGGUGUUCUUCAUAUCACUUAAGAAGUAGUGUAUGAAGGCCUGGAGCGGUUGAAGUGUUGUCUUGUUGUGCAAUUUCUUAGUGAUCGUCCGCCUAUGCGAGAUCAACAGGCCUAUGCGAAUCAAUGAUGAGGACAUGACGGUGAUGUUAUGGUUUUUAUAUGGAUAAUGGACUUUUAUUGUUUUAGUUCCCUCACAUGGAAACCUGUGAUUGGUUAGUCAGCUCAGGACCUUGGCAUAUGAAGAACUCUGCGAUUCUUUUUUGUCAACAGGGAGCUGGUAUUAAAGCAAUUGAGAAUACAUGUGCAGUGAAACCAGUCUAGAUCAAGCUCUCAAAUGUUCCUAUUUCACUGCAAUCUAGAUCAGGGCUAAGUAGAUUGACACGUUCCAUUGGUAAACCUCUCAAUAUGGAUUUGAUCACAAAAGAUAUUGUUGGCUCUAGAGCUAAGGUUUGUUAUGGACUGUGUUAUGGACUUGUCUAAUUCUAUCUCUCUGUUUGUGGUGGGCGGCCCUGUAUUUAAGUAACUGUUGAAUAUUUGCAGUUGUCAAUGAGAUCUACUAAUUGUACUAUCU